Molecule: ribosomal RNA, 497 nt
Filed under: uncultured bacterium
Lineage: Bacteria
Description: partial 16S ribosomal RNA
Rfam family: Bacterial small subunit ribosomal RNA
Source: RNAcentral
GAUGAACGCUGGCGGCGUGCUUAACACAUGCAAGUCGAGCGAACAGACGCUGCUCUUGCGCCAUUCACGUUAGGGGCGGACGGGUGAGACACAGGUAGGCAACCCACCUAUAAGACUGGGACAAGGUCGGGAAAGCGGAACAAAGACCAGAUAAUAUUUUGAACCGGAUGGUUGGAUAGUGAAAUAUGGCUUGGCUAUCACUGAUAGAUAGCCUUGCGCCGGAUGAGCUAGUUGGUAGGGUAACGGCUUACCAGGGCAGCGAUGGGUGGCCGACCUGCGAGGGUGUUCGGCGACACUGGAAGUGGACCGCGGUCCUGACUCCUAGGGGAGGCCCCGGUAGCGAAUCUUGGGCACAGGGCGGAAGCCUGACGGAGCAGCGCCACGUGGGUGAAGAAGGUCUUCGGAGCGUAAAACUCUGUUAUUGGUGAAGACCACACGUGCAAGUAACUGUGCACGUCGUGACGGUACCUAGUCAGAAAGCCCCGGCUAACUACGUG